UAUAGAGAUAAUUUGUAUUUCCCGCGUUGUAUUGUACCGGAAAAAUGACACUCCGUCUCGUGCAGCUCCGCCGUCGCUCCCUCUCUUCACCUGCCGCACCACCGCAUCCACCGCCCUCCCCCCACCGACGCCGACGCCAACUUAUUCAAUUCCACAGUCCCCACCGCUAACUUGCGCACUUCACUCUCCUCACUUCCUGUCGUACGCUCCUCCUUUAAGAAAAAAUCUUUUUAAUUUAAUUUUUAUUUAUUUAUUUUUGUAGUGGGGUUGGAGGUGCCGGGCGAAAUUGGCCGUGCGUGGCUCUUCAACGGAGCCUCUCAUUGGGCUCUAUGAAGAGGGUACUCAUAACGUAGUUGACAUUCCACAAUGCCAAGCUGAUCAUCCUAAUAUUAAAGCUGCUGUGGAGCUGCUUAGACGGGGUAUUACUGAAUUAGGUGUUGAGCCAUUUAUUGAAGAUGAAGGUGCAGGUGAUUUGCAUGUCCAGAUGGCUGUGACAACAUACAACACAUCUCUUCCCACGGCUCAAAUAUGAAAGGUUCAGGUUACAUUGGUUUGGAAUUCAAGAAAUGAAAAUUCACCCGGUUCAGAUAAACUGAAUGCAUUGGUAAAUUUUCUAUGGAAAAAUGGUGGGCCACACAGCAGGCUUCAUUUAAUUCACUCUGUGUGGGCCAACUUUCAGACUUCUACUAACAAUAUAAUUUUUGGGGAUAAAUGGAAACAUCUUCUUGGAGAAAGAGAUUUUUGGGAACAUGUUGGUGGAAUUGAUGUAUCCUUGGCACCUUCUAGUUUUGGCCAGGCGAACACACUGUAAAGAUUCUAAUUUAGUAGAUCUUCAUAAUUUACAUGGCAAUCAGAUAAUGCAUUUAAUCUAUUUUGUAUCAGUUACUAUUGAAGCAUGGACACUAGACACAAAAUACACCCACCCACACACCAUAUUGUGUAAAUAAAUAAUCUUAAUAUGUACAUACAUAUUUAUAGUAUUGGUAUAUCAAAGAAUUAUAUGAAAAUAUAUCUAAAUUCUAAAAUAAGCUUAGCAUGUGCUAGAGGGCAAGCCUUGGUGAAAUAGUAAGGUUGUUACCUUGUGACAUGGAGGUCAUAGGUUGAAAUCUUGGAAGCAACCUCUCUAAGUGCAGGGGUAAGACUGUGUGCAUCUAUCCUCCCUAAAACCCAAUAGGUAGGAGCCGUGUGCACUAUGUCACCUUUUUACGCCAAGUAUGUGUUUAGAAAUAUUUCUUUAGGAUAGUUAAAAACAUAUUUAAGUGUCUUACUGGUGUCAACUAAUUUUCUUUCCAAGAGUAUUUAUAUUGAGGUCUCACUGUCUCAUCUCAGUGUGCUAAUGUGAGUAUUAUUGUCUGGUGUGUGUUGUACACAAUAGGU
Molecule: long non-coding RNA, 1377 nt
Organism: Glycine soja
Lineage: Eukaryota; Viridiplantae; Streptophyta; Magnoliopsida; Fabales; Fabaceae
Exons: 7
Source: RefSeq, a predicted model, not a curated record